RNAcentral lists this ribosomal RNA (326 nucleotides) under Naegleria polaris. RNAcentral's name for it is "partial 18S ribosomal RNA". Lineage: Eukaryota; Heterolobosea; Eutetramitea; Acrasida; Naegleriidae. The record is from RNAcentral.
GUGAGACACUAUAGCUUGUCACUACCUCCCCGUAUUGGGAUUGGGUAAUUUGCGCGCCUGCUGCCGUCCUUAGAUGUGGUAGCGAUUUCUCAGGCUCCCUCUCCGGAAUCGAACACUGAUUCCCCGUACCCGUCAAAGCCUGGUUUGUCCUUUAAACAAACAACGAGCUGAUAGGUAAGAAACACCUCUGCCUGGCCACUAGAAAAAGCAAACCUGAAAGGUCCUAUGAAAACCUUGUUAAUUCACUUUCCCGCGCCCUUGCGGGCACCUGCUAGCGGUCGAUUCUCAAUCCCCCUGAAUAUAUUGCUACAUCCAGGAAAACUGAG